Molecule: ribosomal RNA, 385 nt
Filed under: Eukaryota sp.
Lineage: Eukaryota
Description: partial small subunit ribosomal RNA
Rfam family: Eukaryotic small subunit ribosomal RNA
Source: RNAcentral
AUUCCAGCUCCAAGAGCGUAUAUUAAAGUUGCUGCGGUUAAAAAGCUCGUAGUUGGAUUUCAGUCUAGGAAGGUUAACUCGCCGAAAGGUUGUACGUUGAUUUUCCUCAGACUUCGUCAGAAGCUCGUGCUGCACUUAACUGUGUGGUACGAUGUUCUGACCUUUUACCUUGAGGAAAGUAGAGUGUUUCAGGCAGGCUACCCAGCUUGAAUACAUUAGCAUGGAAUAAUGAAAUGGAUCUCGGUUCGAUUUCGUUGGUUCUAGAGCUGAGGUGAUGAUCAAUAGGAACAGGCGAAGGUAUUCGUACUUGAGAGUGAGGAGUGAAAUCCGAUGAUCUCUUAAAGACGAUCCGAGGCGAAAGCAUUUGUCAAGGAUGUUUUCAUUA